GACGAACGCUGGCGGCGUGCCUAAUACAUGCAAGUUGAGCGCUGAAGGUUGGUACUUGUACCAACUGGAUGAGCAGCGAACGGGUGAGUAACGCGUGGGGAAUCUGCCUUUGAGCGGGGGACAACAGUUGGAAACGAAUGCUAAUACCGCAUAAAAACUUUAAACACAAGGUUUAAGUUUGAAAGAUGCAAUUGCAUCACUCAAAGAUGAUCCCGCGUUGUAUUAGCUAGUUGGUGAGGUAAAGGCUCACCAAGGCGAUGAUACAUAGCCGACCUGAGAGGGUGGUCGGCCACAUGGGGACUGAGACACGGCCCAAACUCCUACGAGAGGCAGCAGUAGGGAAUCUUCGGCAAUGGACGAAAGUCUGACCGAGCAACGCCGCGUGAGUGAAGAAGGUUUUCGGAUCGUAAAACUCUGUUGGUAGAGAAGAACGUUGGUGGGAGUGGAAAGCUCAUCAAGUGACGGUAACUACCCAGAAAGGGACGGCUAACUACGUG
Molecule: ribosomal RNA, 497 nt
Filed under: uncultured bacterium
Lineage: Bacteria
Description: partial 16S ribosomal RNA
Rfam family: Bacterial small subunit ribosomal RNA
Source: RNAcentral